AACCAUAUAAAUCCAAAAUGGAAGGUUUCACUAUAAAUAAUAGGAUGAUGGUGCAUGUAUGCACAGUUCAUUAGCUUCUGGUAGAAAACCACAGGUGAUGAAAGAUGUUAGAACUUAUGCUAGCAAGAUUAGAGAUAAGAUGAGGUGUUAGUGGAAGCUGAAAUUAGUGGAAGCUGAAAUGCACAGGCCUUAGUCACAGGGAACAAGGGAGGAGCCCACGUACCCUGCCCCGGGAACUUUGCUACGGAACAAGGGACAGCAUCGAGGUGCACUGCAGCCUUGCUCGUGGAAGGAGGUGUUCUGGUCGCCGUCUGGAUCGCCGGAGGAACAUGAACAGCUCCAGCACCUACUCCCACAGCGGCGGCCACACCGGAGCCGCCCGAUCAGCACCACAAUCUCGCCGUUCUUCACCAUCAAAAAAGGGCAGGAACUUUCGCAUCUGCAACCCUGUCUCCCACCACCACACGCUGUUGCCCUUGCCACCGAUAAGGGGGUGCGAGUUCAUCGGCACCAUGCUCCUCUCCCGCACCGGGGCGUCGAACGUCUGGGUGAAGAGGAAGAUCACUUGUAAGAGGGAUUGACGGAUAGGUGGCACGGAUCAAUUAGUUGGCUUGCGGAUCAAAGAGUGUCCGAAAGAGUUAUACUCUUUUCGUAACGUGUUUUUCAAGGUGGCGUUCCACGCCCCACGUAGCACGGGGCAUCUAUUUACCAUUAGGAUUGGUAAUUACUCUAUAAUAUUUUUAUCCACAUUUAUAAUCUUUAACUUUUCACUUUGGAUCGCAGGUAUGUGCUUGAAUUUGUUUAAUGAACUCUAAGUUUGAGAUACAAUUUUAGCAUAGAAAUCUAUAUUCCAAUCACUUUAUAUCCUUAUAAAUGGUGGCGCACCUCAUGCGUAUAGAUUUUAAUCAUUAUAUCGUAUACCAAUAGUGCAAGACAUAUACGAUUUAGAAUCAUAUUUUGCUGUAUAUUUUUAAUUAAGGUUAUUUGAUUCAAACGGAGAGUUACUAAUGUUAUUUUUAAUAAUAGCAUGUGUGGGUAAUAUACAUGCAAAUUUAAGGGGUUACUUUAAGUUUUUUAAGUAAUAGGGGUAGGCAAUUCAAUUGCAAAUUAGGGGAUUAUUUUAAAUAUUGUUUAUAAUGGCAUAAGUGGAUAAUUUUGAUGAAGAUUAGGGGUUACUUUAGUUUAUUUUAUAUAAUAGCAGAGGUGGGUAAUUUAUAUAUAGAUUUAGGGGUUACUUUAGGCUAUUUUCAUAAUGGUAUAAGUGAGUAAUUUUUUAGUUUAUAUAAUAGAUGCAAUGGCUAUGAUGAUUUGAAUCUAUCGAUUGAUGGUCGGAUGUUUUAUUUUUUUGAGAAUUUCUAAGAUUUCUCUUUUUUUUCUAGAGUGUCUACCUAAGAAUCCUAGGUGGCUUCACCCGAAGGUUUCAAAGGAGCCUCCAAUUAGUAACAGUGAGAUUGAUUAUUGUCCAG
This 1466-nucleotide long non-coding RNA is filed under the name Setaria italica (foxtail millet). Its description in RNAcentral is "long non-coding RNA (SITA_LNC006118)". Lineage: Eukaryota; Viridiplantae; Streptophyta; Magnoliopsida; Poales; Poaceae. The record is from RNAcentral.